UUACGGGGUGCAGCAGGCGCGAAAACUUCACAAUGGGCGAAAGCCCGAUGAGGGAAUUCCCUAGUGCUAGCAUUUUGUGUUAGCUUUUCACUUAGCGUAGAUAACGGGCUGGGAUAAAGGGCAUGCGGGCAGCCGCCGCGGUAACAC
Molecule: ribosomal RNA, 147 nt
Filed under: uncultured methanogenic archaeon
Lineage: Archaea; Methanobacteriati; Methanobacteriota
Description: partial 16S ribosomal RNA
Rfam family: Archaeal small subunit ribosomal RNA
Source: RNAcentral